This 620-nucleotide ribosomal RNA is filed under the name Bacillus altitudinis. Its description in RNAcentral is "bacterial SSU rRNA". It matches the Rfam family "Bacterial small subunit ribosomal RNA", at positions 71 to 676 of the family's 1533-position model. Lineage: Bacteria; Bacillati; Bacillota; Bacilli; Caryophanales; Bacillaceae. The record is from RNAcentral.
GAAGGGAGCUUGCUCCCGGAUGUUAGCGGCGGACGGGUGAGUAACACGUGGGUAACCUGCCUGUAAGACUGGGAUAACUCCGGGAAACCGGAGCUAAUACCGGAUAGUUCCUUGAACCGCAUGGUUCAAGGAUGAAAGACGGUUUCGGCUGUCACUUACAGAUGGACCCGCGGCGCAUUAGCUAGUUGGUGAGGUAACGGCUCACCAAGGCGACGAUGCGUAGCCGACCUGAGAGGGUGAUCGGCCACACUGGGACUGAGACACGGCCCAGACUCCUACGGGAGGCAGCAGUAGGGAAUCUUCCGCAAUGGACGAAAGUCUGACGGAGCAACGCCGCGUGAGUGAUGAAGGUUUUCGGAUCGUAAAGCUCUGUUGUUAGGGAAGAACAAGUGCAAGAGUAACUGCUUGCACCUUGACGGUACCUAACCAGAAAGCCACGGCUAACUACGUGCCAGCAGCCGCGGUAAUACGUAGGUGGCAAGCGUUGUCCGGAAUUAUUGGGCGUAAAGGGCUCGCAGGCGGUUUCUUAAGUCUGAUGUGAAAGCCCCCGGCUCAACCGGGGAGGGUCAUUGGAAACUGGGAAACUUGAGUGCAGAAGAGGAGAGUGGAAUUCCACGUGU